RNA transcript from Rattus norvegicus (Norway rat), 4879 nucleotides. RefSeq lists it as uncharacterized. The record is from RefSeq and is a predicted model, not a curated record. Lineage: Eukaryota; Metazoa; Chordata; Mammalia; Rodentia; Muridae.
AGAGAACCUCAGUUUUCCCACUCACACAGUCUCUUAAGAUGUAACAAUGGGACAAGGCUAAGCUGUUGACGGUCUUCUCUGAAUAAGGGUCUCCGCUGAUGUUCCUGCUGGUUUGGACACAGGACGCCCAAAGUGGGGCCUGGAUAGAGGAGGCUCCAUGAGGAAGAAGGUUCAGGUGGCCAGCAUUGUAUAUAGAAAUUCCUUCAAAUGCUGUGGGAGCCUGCUGUGGCUGAAACGAAAGAAAAAGAUUGAAUUCAACUUGCUGAAGAUGUUCCUAUGGAAGGUACUUUUGAGCCAAUGGAAAAUCACUUGUGAUGCUUCAACACUGGGUAAAAGGGAUGUAAUUCCCCCAUUUGCCUGGCAUUUUUUUUCUGACUGAAAAUUGUACAAACCAUGCUAAAACUCUGAGUUAUGGUCAUCUCCUGGCCACAGCUGAUUGUCCACCUAUGGGAUGCCAAUCUGCUAUAAUGUUAAAUUUUAUAGACUUUUAAGGCAUGCCCUGGAAAAGUUGCUCCUGUCUUGUGCUUUUUGUUUGAUCAACAACAUCCCUACUACAUAGACAGAUGUAUUGAGGAGAACGUAGGAUGUCCCUAUCAUUCAUGCAGAAUCCAUGAUGUUAGGAACUUAAGAAAUAAUGAGAUUAUUAUUCAAGGUCCCUAUCAGGGCCACAAUUUUUAUCACAUACCCCCAGGCUAUACUUGGGAUAUUUGGGAUCAUGGGAUUCUCGCUGGACUACACCAGUCUAGGUAGCCAUGUACAUGAAUAGAGAUAUAACCUGGCCUAGCAGCUAUGUCUAUAUUUGUCAUUCUCUUGUUCAAAUACAAACCACCAUCCAUGCAGAAAUCCAAGAACAAGAAAAAGUUAAAUACACAACUCACCUUCCCUUUUUCCUGGCUCUCUCUUCUCAGAGAAGGCCACAUGAUUGCCAACAUUACAGGUCUUGGCAAUGUUUCUGCCUGUUUCCUUUGUGCCGCGCUAGCACGUCCUCCUUUAACAGCAGUCCCAUAUCCCACCUCGUUUAAUGGCUCUAGUAAUAUUGAUAAAGGAUUUUCGCCCAUCUCUGAUCUAUCACUGUUUUUGGCUCCUGAUCGGGAACAAUUUAGCUUUUGCUAUUCUAAUGCUAGCACUACCUUGUGUAAUUUGACUAUUGUCCCAAAUACAGAUCUUUUUGCCCCUGAGGGGUUCUCUCUCUGGUGUAAUGGUACCUUUCCAAAAAUCUUUCAGCUCCUGUAAAUAAGGAGCUGCUGUGCCUUCCCUUUGCCUUACUGCCUCCGUUAACCCUUUGCACCCCAGCUGAAUAUCUAGGUUGGGCUGGUCUGCCAUCCUUAAGGAUGAAAUGGGCUGUUUUCUUACACCUGGUGGCUGGUAUCUCCCUUGCUAAAUCCAUUGUGGCUGCUGGCUUGGCAGGAGGAACUUUAGGACAUUCCCUUCUCCCCACUGCAAAACUUUCUCAACAGUUUCAUUUGGCAAUAGAGGCCUCAGCAGAGUCUCUGGCUUCCCUGCAAAGGCAGAUGAAUUCCCUUGCUCAGGUCACCUUACAGAACCAGUGAGCCUUAGAUCUCCUGACCAUGGAAAAGGGUGGAACAUGCCUGUUCCUGGGAGAAGAAUGCUGUUUCUAUGUCAACGAAUCUGGCUUGGUGGAAACCCAAGUUAAUAAAUUACACAAGCUCAGUAUUGAACUACAGAGACAGAAAUUUUCCUCUACCGCCUGUGAUUGGUGGAGAUCAUCUACGUUUUCUCUUUUGAUGCCCUUUGUGGGACCCCUGAUUAGUAUUUUGCUCUUGGUUACACUGGGACCCAUGAUUUUCAACAAGCUCAUGGCUUUUAUUAAUCAAUAAAUUGAGGCCAUUCAGGUCCAUUAUCAUCGCCUUGAGAUGAAUGAUCUAGGUGGGUCUUCUGCUCCCAACCACCUCCCCUGUGAGCUGAACUGGACAGUCAAUGAGGGGUAAGAGAGCAGCAUUCUCUGGUAUUUGAAGCCUAAGACAGGAGGGCCACCAUAAGCUGCUGUCUUAUCCAAUGACGGGCCUAGAGAAAUAAGAAGGUCGUGCUCCAAUCUAAGAGAGACACAGUUCCCUAGGGGCUCUCUCAUGGCUUGAAAUAAUAAAAAAGGGGGACCUGUCCGGGGCCACCCAGCCUGCUUAUACCUUUCUUUGCCUGAGCUAAGUGUUUUCCACUUCAUGGGCCCUUGUUUCCAAGUAGCAUACGUGGGGGUUACCACCAGUCAAAAAUACUGGAGACUUCCUGGUAGCUUGCUUUUACACAAGAAUGAGUUUCAUUCUAUUCUUAGUUAGAAACUUCAGAAAAUUGAAACUUAGUGUAGGUAAGAAGUUUUUGGGAAAUCAAAACUUAUGCCAUUGGUUUCUGAUGUGACAACGUUUAUCGUUACCCUGAUUACCAGUUUGUGUUGUAUGAUUUUUCUGCUUAUAAACAAGUGCUUUUUGCUUGAUUAAAUGAGACAUAAUCAGAAUAUUGUCUUGUCUCCACUUCUCGCGCCUCUUGUCCCAUCCCUCCCACUCCCCUCUCCAAGGUCUCUGUUGAUGUUCGGGCAGGCUGGGACAGUUUCCCUUCUUUGUUGGAGUUUUUCAUCUAUAAUCCUUUGAAGGGGUGGAUUUGAGAAAAGAUGUUGUCUAAAUUUGAUUUUGCCAUGGAAUAUCUUGGUUUCUCCAUCUAAUGUUAAUUGAGAGUUUUGUUGGGUAUAGUAGCCUGGGCUGGCAUUUGUGUUCUCUUAGGGUCCUAAUGACAUCUGUCCAGGAUCUUGUAGCUUUCAUGGUCUUUGUUGAAAAGUCUGGUGUAAUUCUGAAAAGUCUGCCUUUAUAUGCUAAUUGACCUUUUUCCCUUACUGUUUUUAUUAUUAUUUGUUUUGUGUAUUGGGUGUUUUGACUAUUAUGUAAUGGGAGGAAUUUCUCUCUGGUCCAAUCUAUUUGGAGUUCCUUAGGCUUCUUGUAUGUUCAUGGGCAUCUCUUUCUUUAGGUUAGGGAAGUUUUCUUCUAUGAUUUUGUUGAAGAUAUUUACUGGCCCUUUAUGUUGGGAGUCUUCACUCUCUUGUAUACUUAUUAUUCUUAGGUUUGGUCUUCUCAUUGUGUCCUGGAUUUCCUGGAUGCUUUGGCUUAGAAGCUUUUGGCAUUUUGCAUUUUUUUGGCAAAUAAAACCAUUUACUUGCUAGCCAAGCUAACAGAAGACAAGUGGUUAAUAAUUUUAGGAGUCAUUCAGGGGAUAGGAUAUAUGCACACUUCAGAGACAGGGCUAAACAACUCAAUAGCGUACAGGAAACAGAGAGUUCCUUAAGAACACCAUGCCCAAAACCUCAGACAAAGAAAGCCACUCAUGUCACAAAAAAAGAAUAAUUUUAGCUGGAUAUGAGUGAUGCAGGCAUUUAUUCCCACCACACAGGAGGCAGAGGUGGUCAGAUUCUGUGAACACAAGGCCAGCCUGGUCUACAGCCUGUGUUCCAUGACAACAAGAAUCACAUAGAAAAAGUCUCAAAAGACUACCAACCAACAAAAAAAAACCCAAAACAAAAACAAACAAAUGAACCUCCAUAUAGAAUAAUUUCAUAGUACUUUAUAUUAUGAUGUUGUAUUUUAAAUUAAUACUUAAAGACAUUAAUAAAAUAGUAGAAGACAAAGCAUUAAGCUCAGAGUUCUCAUCACUGGGAGUGUAUAUACCUCUCCCUCCUCUUAACUUUACUGUAACUGUAAACCUGCUCACAAUGUAAACAUUUCAGCUGAGCUUCUCCAGGAAUCACUGCCAGGGUGGUCUGUUCAAGUCCUUGCAUGGUUUCCAGGGCAGCAGACACAGUACUGAAAUAAGAAUGAACUUUCAGAUGAACUUCUGGAAAUGAUUUAAUGCAGCAUUUCCACAUAAGGUUAAUCUUCAAACAAAAUCCUCCUAUGUUAUAAUAAUAAUAAUAAUAAUAAUAAUAAUAAUAAUAAUAAUAAUAAAGCAGAUAAAAUAUAAAACAGUUUUUUCUCUUGGUAAGAGACACUUUUCCAAUUCUAUUUCCAAUUUUAUUUUGAAUGCUCGUGCUUUUUCUUUGUAUACUCGCAAAUACUUUGGACUUCACUUUUUAAAUUAGUAUUUGGAGCAUUUGUGCAUGUUGACGUUAUCUUCAGGAGGUGCACUCCUCUUCACCAUCUGGUCUCACAACAAAGAAACCCAUCACAUGUGUGCAGUCUCCUCACAGAGUCUCUAGCUUCCAACAGAUACAACUCCCCCCUGCCUGUGAACUCCUCAACCAACCUGCAGUGCAGAGGAGAGCUUCAGAAGUUUCUGUUACCAUGGGCACUGGAAAAAAUUUCCUGAACAAAACACCAAUGGCUUAUGCUUUAAGAUCAAGAAUCGACAAAUGGGAUCUCAUAAAACUGCAAAGCUUCUGUAAGGCAAAGGACAUUGUGAUUAGGACAAAACGGCAACCAACAGAUUGGAAAAAGAUCUUUACCAAUCCUAAAACAGAUAGAGGGCUUAUAUCCAAAAUAUACAAAGAACUCAAGAAGUUAGACCGCAGGGAGACAAACAACCCUAUUAAAAAUGGGGUUCAGAACUAAACAAAGAAUUCACAGCUGAGGAAUGCCGAAUGGCUGAGAAACGCCUAAAGAAAUGUUCAACAUCUUUAGUCAUAAGGGAAAUGCUAAUCAAAACAACCCUGAGAUUUCACCUCACACCAGUGAGAAUGGCUAAGAUCAAAAAUUCAGGUGACAACAAAUGCUGGCGAGGAUGUGGAGAAAGAGGAACACUCCUCCAUUGUUGGUGGGAUUGCAGACUGGUACAACCAUUCUGGAAAUCAGUCUGGAGGUUCCUCAGAAAAUUGGACAUUGAACUGCCUGAGGAUCCAGCUAUACCUCUCUUAGGCAUAUACCCAAAAGAUGCCCCAACAUAUAAA